CCUACGGGAGACAGCAGUGGGGAAUAUUGGGCAAUGGAGGCAACUCUGACCCAGCAACGCCGCGUGAAUGAUGAAGGUCUUCGGAUUGUAAAGUUCUGUGAUGGGGGAUGAACACAAUGACGGUACCCCACUAGCAAGCCACGGCUAACUACGUGCCAGCAGCCGCGGUAAUACGUAGGUGGCAAGCGUUAUCCGGAAUGACUGGGUGUAAAGGGAGCGUAGACGGCUGUGCAAGUCUGGAGUGAAAGGCGGGGGCCCAACCCCCGGACUGCUCUGGAAACUGUAUGGCUGGAGUGCAGGAGAGGUAAGCGGAAUUCCUAGUGUAGCGGUGAAAUGCGUAGAUAUUAGGAGGAACACCAGUGGCGAAGGCGGCUUACUGGACUGUAACUGACGUUGAGGCUCGAAAGCGUGGGGAGCAAACAGGAUUAGAUACCCGGGUAGUC
This 443-nucleotide ribosomal RNA is filed under the name uncultured bacterium. RNAcentral's name for it is "partial 16S ribosomal RNA". It matches the Rfam family "Bacterial small subunit ribosomal RNA", at positions 338 to 795 of the family's 1533-position model. The record is from RNAcentral.